RNAcentral lists this ribosomal RNA (422 nucleotides) under uncultured bacterium. Its description in RNAcentral is "partial 16S ribosomal RNA". It matches the Rfam family "Bacterial small subunit ribosomal RNA", at positions 359 to 773 of the family's 1533-position model. The record is from RNAcentral.
GAAUUUUGGACAAUGGGGGCAACCCUGAUCCAGCCAUCCCGCGUGUGCGAUGAAGGCCUUCGGGUUGUAAAGCACUUUUGGCAGGGAAGAAAAGGCUCUGGCUAAUACCUGGCGCUGCCGACGGUACCUGCAGAAUCAGCCCCGGCUAACUACGUUACAGCCACCGCGGUAAUACGGAGGGGGCAAGCGUUCAUCGGAAUUACUGGGCGUAAAGCGGGCGCAGGCGGUUCUGCAAGAAGGAUGUGAAAUCACAGGGCUUAACCUUGGAACUGCAUUCUUAACUGCCGGGCUAGAGUAUGUCAGAGGGGGGUAGAAUUCCGCGUGUAGCAGUGAAAUGCGUAGAGAUGCGGAGGAAUACCGAUGGCGAAGGCAGCCCCCUGGGAUAAUACUGACGCUCAUGCACGAAAGCGUGGGGAGCAAAC